UAACAUUCGGUUGGAACCGAGAUGACCG
This 28-nucleotide small RNA is filed under the name Bombyx mori (domestic silkworm). RNAcentral describes it as "ovarian small RNA-18679". Lineage: Eukaryota; Metazoa; Arthropoda; Insecta; Lepidoptera; Bombycidae. The record is from RNAcentral.